This 401-nucleotide ribosomal RNA is filed under the name uncultured bacterium. Its description in RNAcentral is "bacterial SSU rRNA". It matches the Rfam family "Bacterial small subunit ribosomal RNA", at positions 32 to 410 of the family's 1533-position model. The record is from RNAcentral.
AAUCAACGCUGGCGGCGUGCCUCAGACAUGCAAGUCGAACGCGAAAGUUUCCUUCGGGAAACCGGUAGAGUGGCGCACGGGUGAGUAACACGUGGGUAAUUUACCUUUGGGUGGGGAAUAACAGUCGGAAACGACUGCUAAUACCGCAUAAUGCAGCGGCAGCUCAUGCUGACAGUUGUUAAAGCGGGGGAUCUGCAAAGACCUCGCGCCUAAAGAGAAGCCCGCGGCGGAUUAGCUAGUUGGUGAGGUAAUGGCUCACCAAGGCGUCGAUCCGUAGCCGGCCUGAGAGGGCGGUCGGCCACACUGACACUGAAUAACGGGUCAGACUCCUACGGGAGGCAGCAGUCGGGAAUUUUGGGCAAUGGGCGAAAGCCUGACCCAGCAACGCCGCGUGAAGGAUG